AUUGAACGCUGGCGGCAUGCUUUACACAUGCAAGUCGAACGGCAGCGCGGGCUUCGGCCUGGCGGCGAGUGGCGAACGGGUGAGUAAUGCAUCGGAACGUGCCCAGUAGUGGGGGAUAGCCCGGCGAAAGCCGGAUUAAUACCGCACACGACCUGCGGGUGAAAGCGGGGGACCGAAAGGCCUCGCGCUAUUGGAGCGGCCGAUGUCGGAUUAGCUAGUUGGUGGGGUAAAGGCUUACCAAGGCGGCGAUCCGUAGCUGGUCUGAGAGGACGACCAGCCACACUGGGACUGAGACACGGCCCAGACUCCUACGGGAGGCAGCAGUGGGGAAUUUUGGACAAUGGGGAGAACCCUAAUCCAGCCAUGCCGCGUGCGGGAAGAAGGCCUUCGGGUUGUAAACCGCUUUUGUUCGGGAAGAAAUACUCUGGGCUAAUACCCCGGGGGGAUGACGGUACCGGAAGAAUAAGCACCGGCUAACUACGUG
This 484-nucleotide ribosomal RNA is filed under the name uncultured bacterium. RNAcentral's name for it is "partial 16S ribosomal RNA". It matches the Rfam family "Bacterial small subunit ribosomal RNA", at positions 29 to 507 of the family's 1533-position model. The record is from RNAcentral.